This is a long non-coding RNA of Rhinolophus ferrumequinum (greater horseshoe bat), 1965 nucleotides long. RefSeq lists it as uncharacterized. The record is from RefSeq and is a predicted model, not a curated record. The transcript is spliced from 3 exons. Lineage: Eukaryota; Metazoa; Chordata; Mammalia; Chiroptera; Rhinolophidae.
UGAUGGGUACCCAAGGGGGAGAAACUAUGGGAGCAGAGGGGAAGAAAGAGCCGGAACAGAGGUGUGUGUUCCCAACCGAUGUCCUACUCCAUGCUUGGGACCUGGCACAGAGGAGAGACGGAGUUUGAGUCCAGGUUGAGCUGACCCAGCACGCAUCCUCCUGCACCAUCAUCGCUUCCUGCGUGAGCCUUGCUAGAACUCACAGGUGAAGACUCUCAGAGGCCAAAGAUGACUUCUGGGAACUGAAUGUUGACUGUUUGCAGAGUGUAAGGCUGGAGCUGGAAUGCAAGUAUCCACCUGUCCCCUGGCUGGACACACCUCCUUUGCCAUUACCUGGAGGGUGUGUCCAGGACGAUGGGCCCUGAGGAGCCCAGCUCUGUGCACUGUGUGACUAAGAGAACCAAGGCUGGGUACUAAAGAGGGGGUGGAGGAAAACACAGGCAACUUUCCCAUCACCAAAUGCUCCUGCUAUCCCUUCCCUGUGGGGUGCUGCAGAGAUGACACGAGGCAGUGAAUUCUUCUCCCUCACCCGUGACUUAACCCUGGGCCCAGAUUGGCCCUGGAAAACAGUGACCACACUCCCCAGACCUCAGAACAAAAGACUGUGAGCCUCCAUCCUGAAAAAUCCUUCAGAAGUGAGACUCAGGGCCCCUUUCUCCAUCACUCCACGCUAUUUUUUUAUGCUCAGUGACUCCACAAGAAAAUAACAGCUCAAUGGACUAAGGCUAAGAGAAACACAAGGGUCUGGCUAAGGGUUGGAUGGGAGCAGAUAUUGCUGCUGCCUGCAUAGCAUGCGUCAUGCGCUCAUUCUUCGGGCAAGGCUGGAGAGGCCUUGGUUUGGCAGAGAACUGAGCUUCCUGCACUGGCAAAAUGGUCUCACUGCUUCUGCUGAGUGCCAAGUGUUUCCAUGAUGAUUUACACCUCUAAAUCAUGGCUUAAAGAGCAUUUGUGAAAAUGUAUGUGUUCUUGUGUCUAAACAGCUCCUACACCAUUACCAACAUUAUUGGUUCCAUUUCAUCAUCCAAACUAGCAGGAAACAGGGGCUUAAGAAAAUGGAACAUAGGAUAGGUAGAAACUGGAAACAAACUGGGCCAUCGAAUGCCAUCCAGAAGGAAGGAGCUGGACGGGGCUCUCCAGAGAGGCCUGGGGCUUUGAGCUGAUGCCGUGCAGUUCUUGUGGCUUUGGAUGAUUUGCUUCUGUCCACUUUCAUCCUGGGCUCUGUGAGAAUACCUUGUUACCUAUUUUAAGAUAAAUGUCUUCCAAGCGUUUCUAGUUUUAAUCCUAGUUUCUCUGUUGUUACGUGGAGAUUCAGAGAUAUCCAAACUCUGCGCUGCCACUGCUGCUGCCGUUGUUCCAGAGUGAUCCUUUUGAAUCAUGUCAAAAAUGCUGAAAUGACUUCCCAUUUCAGUCCAACUCAAGGUUUCCACAAUGGCUUACAAGGCCCUGUAGGACCAGUGUCUCCCCCAUACCAACACUCCUCUGAGCCCCUCUACCAUUCUCCUGUUUGCUCCCUCUGCUCCCGCUACACUGACUUCCUUGCUGCUCCUGGAACAUGCCAGAUAUCUGCCCAGCUCUACGCCUUUGCUCUAGCAGUUUUCUCUACGUUGGUCACUGUUCCCUCAGAUACAAGCUAAGUUCACCUCUUCCUACUAGGCUUUGAAAUCUCCUUCUCAGUGACAUCUAAUCUGACCACCCUGUCUAACACGGCACACUCCCCUCCGACACGCCUGAUCUCCUUUUCUCUGCUGUGUUUUUUUUCCCCGUAGCAUUCAACAUCUUCUAACACUAAGCAUUUUGCUUAUUUAUUAUGCUUAGGUAUUACCUACCUUCCCGUUACUAGGAUAUAAAAUCCAUGAAAGCAGGAAUGUUAAGUCUGUUUUGUUCUCUUAUGUAUAUCAAGUGCCUGGAACAAUGCCUGACAGAUGUAUCUACUUAAUAAAAUGCAUGAAUGAAUAAAUAAAUGAA